This 29-nucleotide non-coding RNA is filed under the name Homo sapiens (human). Lineage: Eukaryota; Metazoa; Chordata; Mammalia; Primates; Hominidae. The record is from RNAcentral.
UCCACAGAGACAGAAACUAGAUUAGCGGU